CAAGCAGGCCGCCUUAUCGCCACCGAUUUAAUCGAUGGAGGAAAUUCCGGACACCAAAGAGCGGCAUAGUGGGUAACGCCCACCUAUUUUAUUUUGAGCAAUCAAGAUAAAAUAAGGACUAGUGCAACAGAAAGGAUGUACAGGUAAUGCUGUAGUGAAAUCAGGUAAACUCUAUGCGGUGCAAUGCCAUGUAAACCGGUGUUUGCAAGCUGCUCGCUUGCUACCGGAGGGUAGGCAGCUAAAAGUUUUUGGCAACAAAAACCUGAGAUAAAUGAUAAGGGGAAUCCCGGUUUUACCGGGAGGAACAGAAUCCGGAUUAUAGGCCUGCUUUUUUU
Salegentibacter mishustinae is the source of this 335-nucleotide non-coding RNA. It matches the Rfam family "Bacterial RNase P class A". From Rfam's summary of the family: Ribonuclease P (RNase P) is a ubiquitous endoribonuclease, found in archaea, bacteria and eukarya as well as chloroplasts and mitochondria. Lineage: Bacteria; Pseudomonadati; Bacteroidota; Flavobacteriia; Flavobacteriales; Flavobacteriaceae. The record is from Rfam.